GCUGAUAACUACGCUGUCUGAUGGAUGGCUUGGCUUGGAUGCUGAUGAAGGGCGUGGCAAGCUGCGAUAAGCCCUGGGGAGACGCACGCAGUCUUCGAUCCAGGGAUACCCGAAUAGGACUUCCUGAUGGCUUCGGCCAUCGUUCCGUAAGGAACGGGAACCCCCUGAACUGAAACAUCUUAGUAAGGGGAGGAUGAGAAACCAAUUGGGAUUUCCGGAGUAGCGGCGAGCGAAAUGGAAACAGCCUAAACUGAACACGCAAGGAAACUUGUUGUGGAUGUGGUGUAUGGAGUCGGUCUCUUCUUACUCGUUGAUGUCGAGGUGUUCUGGAAAGCUCCGCUAUAGAGGGUGAUAGCCCCGUAGGCGGUAAACGAGAAGAAUUGGACUGAACUCCGGAGUAGCGUGCCUUGAGACUGGCGCGUGAAUCUGGGAGACAUUAACUUCCAAGGCUAAAUACAAUCCAAGACCGAUAGUGCACUAGUACGGUGACGGAAAGCUGAAAAGACCCCCGAAAGGGGCGUUAAAAGCGCCUGAAAUCAGAUAGUUACAGACGUGUACGGCUCUAAAGGUUUGAUGCAUUCGAAGGAAAUUGUGGUGACACAACAUUACGAGAAUGCGGACCAGAGUUGUACGUUCCGUUUAGGAUCACGGGCCGGGGAGUUAACUUGUGUGGCAAGCCUAAGGGUUUAAAGCCCGUAAGCGUAGGGAAACCAAAAUGCAAACAGCCGUAAGGUGAGUUGCUAGGUCUUAAAGGGCCUGGAGUCACACGGGUUAGACUAGAAACCAGUUGAUCUAGCCCUGAACAAGGUGAAGUCAGGCGAAAGCCUGAUGGAGGCCUGAAGGGGUACUGAUAUGCAAUUCGUUCCUCUGAUUUGGGGCUAGGGGUAAAAGGCCAAUCUAAACUGGUGAUAGCUAGUUCCUUCCGAAGUAUGUCGCAGCAUAGCCUUAGCGGAGACUGCUGGCGGGGUAGAGCACUAAUCGGGUGGCACGGAGAGUAAAAUCUCCACCACUCUUUUAAACUCCGAAUACGCCAGCGUCGUAGAAGCUAGGAGACGGGUGGGCCGGGUUAAGCUCGGUCACCGUGAGGGGGACAACCCAGACUAAGGUUAAGGGCCCUAAGUGCUGGCUAAGUGAUAAAUCAAAGGGCGUCGCAAUCCUAAAACAGCGGGGAGGUAGGCUUAGAAGCAGCCAUCCUUUAAAGAAAUCGUAACAGAUCACCCGCCGAGGAUUGGGGCCCCGAAGAUGGACGGGUCUCAAGCCAGCCUCCGAUACCUUAGAGUUACACUUUAAGUGUAAUCCAGUAGGAAGGCGUCCUGGUUGGGUAGAAGCAAGGGUGAGAACUCUUGUGGACCGGCCAGGAUUGCAGAUCCCGGCGGUAGUAACAGCAUAGUCGGGUGAGAAUCCCGAUCGCCGAAAGAGCAAGGGUUUCCAGGCAAUGCGUCGUCAGCCUGGAGUUAGUCGAUCCUAAGGUCAACGUUAACAUGAUUGAUCGAAAGGGGAACUGGUUAAUAUUCCAGUACUUUAGUAGUACGUACGGUGACGUUAAGCCCAAUAGAUGACGCUUCGAGAUAGGUCGAGCAGAAUUGUCUUUCUGUUUAACUGUUCAAAUCUGAGGAGUACCGUAAUGGUGAGAAUUAGAUGAAUGCAGGAAUAGCCUUCCGUUUAGGAGGGUUCGAUUGAUUCUUGGAGCCCCUGAAAAGUUUAUUGGGAUGAAUCUAUUAAAAUCGUACCCAGAACCAACACUGGUGCUCAGGGUGAGAAGCCCAAGGCGUGUCGGAGACAAUCUAGGCGAGGGAAAUCGGCAAAUUAGCCCCGUAUCUUCGGUAUAAGGGGUGCCUACUGCAUUAACUGAUGUUGGUGUGGUAGGUCGCAGUGACUAGGGGGGGACGGCUGUUUAUUAAAAACAUAGGUAGCCGCUAGAGCGAAAGCUUUUGUACGGCUAUUGAAUCCUGUCCAGUGGUGGUACCUGAAUCUUGAUUUCAACCGAGGGAAGGGCCACUAAACGACGGGAGUAACUCUGACUCUCUCAAGGUAGCCAAAUGCCUUGUCGUGUAAGUUACGACGUGCUUGAAUGGAACCACGAUCUCCCCACUGUCCCCGCUUAGACUCCGGUGAACCCACAGGCUGGACGAACAGUCCAGCGACUUCCAGCGGGACAAGAAGACCCCGUGGAGCUUUACUGCAGUCUGUCGCUGAGACGUGGCCUCGCUUGCAGAGCGUAGGUAGGAGCCGAUG
Molecule: ribosomal RNA, 2235 nt
Filed under: marine sediment metagenome
Description: bacterial LSU rRNA
Rfam family: Archaeal large subunit ribosomal RNA
Source: RNAcentral